This 18-nucleotide ribosomal RNA is filed under the name Hericium erinaceus (lion's mane mushroom). RNAcentral describes it as "partial 28S ribosomal RNA". Lineage: Eukaryota; Fungi; Basidiomycota; Agaricomycetes; Russulales; Hericiaceae. The record is from RNAcentral.
CAGGCGGGACUACCCGCU